RNAcentral lists this ribosomal RNA (466 nucleotides) under uncultured bacterium. Its description in RNAcentral is "partial 16S ribosomal RNA". It matches the Rfam family "Bacterial small subunit ribosomal RNA", at positions 28 to 507 of the family's 1533-position model. The record is from RNAcentral.
GAUGAACGCUGGCGGCGUGCUUAACACAUGCAAGUCGAACGAUGAAGCCCAGCUUGCUGGGUGGAUUAGUGGCGAACGGGUGAGUAACACGUGAGUAACCUGCCCUUAACUCUGGGAUAAGCCUGGGAAACUGGGUCUAAUACCGGAUAGGAGCGUCCACCGCAUGGUGGGUGUUGGAAAGAUUUAUCGGUUUUGGAUGGACUCGCGGCCUAUCAGCUUGUUGGUGAGGUAAUGGCUCACCAAGGCGACGACGGGUAGCCGGCCUGAGAGGGUGACCGGCCACACUGGGACUGAGACACGGCCCAGACUCCUACGGGAGGCAGCAGUGGGGAAUAUUGAACAAUGGGCGAAAGCCUGAUGCAGCGACGCCGCGUGAGGGAUGACGGCCUUCGGGUUGUAAACCUCUUUCAGUAGGGAAGAAGCGAAAGUGACGGUACCUGCAGAAGAAGCACCGGCUAACUACGUG